RNAcentral lists this ribosomal RNA (983 nucleotides) under uncultured Promicromonospora sp. Its description in RNAcentral is "bacterial SSU rRNA". It matches the Rfam family "Bacterial small subunit ribosomal RNA", at positions 51 to 1047 of the family's 1533-position model. The record is from RNAcentral. Lineage: Bacteria; Bacillati; Actinomycetota; Actinomycetes; Micrococcales; Promicromonosporaceae.
ACACAUGCAAGUCGAACGGUGAAGCCCAGCUUGCUGGGUGGAUCAGUGGCGAACGGGUGAGUAACACGUGAGCAACCUGCCCCCUACUUCGGGAUAAGCCUUGGAAACGAGGUCUAAUACCGGAUAUGAACACUUGUCGCAUGGCGGGUGUUGGAAAGUUUUUCGGUGGGGGAUGGGCUCGCGGCCUAUCAGCUUGUUGGUGGGGUAAUGGCCUACCAAGGCGUCGACGGGUAGCCGGCCUGAGAGGGCGACCGGCCACACUGGGACUGAGACACGGCCCAGACUCCUACGGGAGGCAGCAGUGGGGAAUAUUGCACAAUGGGCGAAAGCCUGAUGCAGCGACGCCACGUGAGGGAUGACGGCCUUCGGGUUGUAAACCUCUUUCAGCAGGGAAGAAGCGAAAGUGACGGUACCUGCAGAAGAAGCGCCGGCUAACUACGUGCCAGCAGCCGCGGUAAUACGUAGGGCGCAAGCGUUGUCCGGAAUUAUUGGGCGUAAAGAGCUCGUAGGCGGUCUGUCGCGUCUGGUGUGAAAUCCCAUGGCUCAACUGUGGGCUUGCAUCGGGUACGGGCAGACUAGAGUGCUGUAGGGGAGACUGGAAUUCCUGGUGUAGCGGUGGAAUGCGCAGAUAUCAGGAGGAACACCGAUGGCGAAGGCAGGUCUCUGGGCAGUUACUGACGCUGAGGAGCGAAAGCAUGGGGAGCGAACAGGAUUAGAUACCCUGGUAGUCCAUGCCGUAAACGUUGGGCACUAGGUGUGGGGCGGGUUCCACUCGUUCUGUGCCGCAGCUAACGCAUUAAGUGCCCCGCCUGGGGAGUACGGCCGCAAGGCUAAAACUCAAAGGAAUUGACGGGGGCCCGCACAAGCGGCGGAGCAUGCGGAUUAAUUCGAUGCAACGCGAAGAACCUUACCAAGGCUUGACAUGUACGAGAAAGCCCCAGAGAUGGGGUUCUCUUUGGACACUCGUACACAGGUGGUGCAUG